Molecule: long non-coding RNA, 4779 nt
Filed under: Equus caballus (horse)
Lineage: Eukaryota; Metazoa; Chordata; Mammalia; Perissodactyla; Equidae
Description: lncRNA (ENSECAG00000053454.1)
Source: RNAcentral
UUCCCUACAUUAAAUCCAGCAUAUAUGGGGUUAAAACCAAAACACUCAUUCCCUGCUUACUGCCUGGCUUCCUGGCUCCAGAAUCAGCUAUCCUCCAUGGAGACAGACACCACCAAGGACAAGCCCUGGAUUCAUUAUCUCCUCCUUGCAAAGAGAUACAGGCUGGUGCGAAAGCUGCUGACCAGCAAGGUCACAGGCUCCCUCCUCUCUGCAAGUAGUCUCAAGGCCAAAGACAGGCUGGUGGGAAAGCUCCAACCAGCAAGGCCAUAUGCUCCCCCUCCCCUACCUAAAACCCCAAAUAAAAACCCUUCCUUUUAGCUUUUCAGGGAGUUUGGGAUUUCAGCAUUAGCUGCCCUCUCUCCUUGCUCAGCACUGUGCAAUAGUUAAAUUCCUACUUUCUUCCACUACCGCCGGUGUCAGAGAUUGGCUUGCUGUGCAAUGGGUGAGCGAACUCACUUCAGGUUUGAUAUCAAUUUGGUGACCCAGAUGGGACAAUGCCCCAGGUGGACCACUUGCCUGUGGCACACCAGCCUCUGGCUAAAGGCCUCUCUUGGAAGCUGUCCUGCAGCUGCCUGAGCCCCUUUUCUCAGGGACAGCCCCAAGCAACUGGCUGCUAACCAGAUGUCAGUGGCCCAUGGCGCUUUGCUUUGGUGGUGGAAGAAACUAGGUUUAGGACUUAGGAAGACAUCUCUCAUAAGUAGCUGGUAGCUUUUGUCUUUGUCCUUGUGCUAACCUUUUCCAGCAGGACCAGCCAAAAAUAAUGGGCACCCAGCAGCCUUCUGGGUUCCAUUUGUUUUGAAGUUGCGACAUCCCGGCCAAAUUUUGAAUCCACUAUCCUCCAUGGAGACAGACACCACCAAGGACAAGCCCUGGAUUCAUUAUCUCCUCUUUGCAAAGAGAUACAGGCUGGUGCGAAAGCUGCUGACCAGCAAGGUCACGGACUCCCUCCUCUCUGCAAGUAGUCUCAAGGCCAAAGACAGGCUGGUGGGAAAGCUCCAACUAGCAAGGCCAUAUGCUGCCCCCCUCCCCCCCCACGUAAAACCCCAAAUAGAAACCCUUCCUUUUAGCUUUUUGGGAAGUUUGGGAUUUCAGCAUUAGCUUCCCUCUCUCCUUGCUCAGUGCUGUGCAAUAAUAAAAUUCCUACUUUCUUCCACCACACCCAGCAUCAGAAAUUGGCUUGCUGUGCAACAGGUUUAAAACACCUGGGUCAAGACCUCUUCUUCUGGCCAAAAUGGAGAAACAAGGACUGGAUUUCCUCUCCUGCCUAAAAAAACCAAAAGACAUACAAAAUGUAUGAAGGAUUUUCGAGACUUUGGAUAUCAGGCAAUGAAAGACAAUGAUCUUUGAGUGAUGGAAAAUAAAUGAGGUAUAACAGACUCAGAAAGUAUUGGGUAAGCUGAAUAGAGUUCCGAGAAUGCUGGGCACAUUCGCCGAACAAUCAAAACACUUCCAACAGAGAGGGAAAAAGAAAAGCAGAUCUAUUGAAAAACAUUUUCAUGACACAGAACCAUGGAAUUAAAUGACUUUCAAAGAAAGGUGUAAACCUUACAAUAAUUUCAAGUCACAUUCAGUAUGAAGCAAAGAUUUACAUGAAAGAACUUUUAGAUGUAUGAACGUUCAUAUGAGAGAAAUGUGCUCAGUGAAGGAGAGAACCCAAAAUGCUUUGCAAUAGCCUGGCCAUUGCUCGAGCAUGAUGACUUCAAAAGAAGCUACAGAAAGAAAUGGAAAGUUGGAAUAAAUACUGACCAAGCAAGGAAAGGACAGAAUAAAAAUGAGUUCCUGUGUCUAUAUAUCCAAGUCCAGAUACCAUUUCUGUAUGGAUGAUCUAGAGAUGAUAAAUUCACAGCAUGUCAAAACCUGAACUAAUCUCAAGUUUGUUACCAAAUUUUUUCUCCAGAUCUUGUUUGAUGAUAGCCCAUCUACCCAGUUACCCAAUCACAGACCUCAGAGUCAUCUUGGAAUCCUCGCUGUGUCCCAUUUUCCCCCAUCUUUUACCAAUUCUAUUGAUUUCGCUGCUAGUGUCUAGACACUCCUUUUAAUGUGUAUGUUAAUGAUAUGAAUCAGAACUUCAUCAAUCUCUUGCGUAGCUCACUGUAACAAUGUCUUAAUUGAUCUCCGUGUCCCUGGUGUUUCUCCUUUCAAUCUAUUCCCCACAUUGCUGCCAAAAUAGUCAUUCUAAAAUGCAAAUCUGAUCAUAUCGCUUCCUUGGUAAAUAUCCUCCAAAGUUUCCUGAUACCAAUUGGGAUAAAAUCCAGAUUCCUUAGCAGAACAUGAAAAGCCCUUAAUAGGGACUACCCUCCUCUCCAUCCAUUCUUUCCAUCAGUAGCCCCUGCUCAUCCUUCCAGACCCAGUUCAGGAAUUAUCUCCUCUGAAUAUUCACUCAUGAUACCCUUAUCUGAAUCAGCUUCCCUAACCACAGCACCUUGCAAUUCUUUUUGGCUUAGAACUUAUCUUAGUUUGUUGUAAUUGAGUGACCAUGUCUCUUUAUCCUACUAUUCUGCAAGAAACUUAAGGAAAGAAGCCAUUGUUCUUCAUUUCUGUAUCCCCAGCAUGGAACACUAAUACGUAGAAAGCAAUUAAAGUGUUUGAGAAAGAAAGGAAAUAGGAAAGAAAAAGAAAAUAGAAGGGAUCAACUAGAUAACUCUAGAAAAUUUUUAACGCUAAAAUGCUGUCUCUGUGAUUCCAUUUAUUUGGGCCAGACCCCCAGGUCAUACACACAUCAUCUACAGGCAGUGAGGGGUAAACUAUCAACACCAAUAAGCUAUUCUUCCAUUCUCCAACCCCAAGGGAAAGUGUUCCCUUAAACUCACCACAUAAAGACAACAAGGAUGCUUUAAGGUGAGAGAAACCUGUAGUAGUAUACAUUCUUAGGAUUACCAGGAGAAAUAGAUCCCCAAGUGGUAGACCAGGGAGCUGAUUUUUACCUCCAAAGCAACAAAGCUCAUGGAAGCAUUGUGUCACCCUCCCUUCCUGCAGCCAUCAACGCUGAGUGCCAGGGAGGUGAAGACUCUCCACACACUAGGGGGUACUCUUGGACCAGCAGUUUCCAUGCUCAUUAAGUUCUCUUUGGAUUUUGCUUCUCUUCAAAUCAAGUUAAAAUGUAUCUCCCCUUAUUCCUAGACUCUGGGAAGUAGAUUUGGUUGUGCCUUCUUCUGUAGCAUACCCAUAACUCUUCUAAAGAAUUUAUCACACUGUUAUUAUUAUUGUUAUUAGAUAAGUGUUCAGAGACAAUUCUCCAAGGGUCUCUUGCGUUUCUGCCCAUUUGAGCAAAGACGUUGACAGCUUUUGCUUCCAACUAUCUUUCCAAGGAUGUUUGUAUGGCAAACUGCCUUUGAGCAUGGAGAUAGUAUCUCCCUUCAAGGGAGAAGAAGGCAGGUUUUUCCUAACCUAUCUUGGUAAUAAAGAUAAUGUCUCCCACUGAGGUGAAGGUUAGGCAAGUUUGCUAGCAGCCUCCUUUGUGAGAUUGGGAGCUUCCAACGCUUAUGUUUCCUCAAUUGUGAUACAAACCUACUGUAGACACAUCUACCUGGGCUACUUUACAUCACCGCCAUGGAACUAGAGGAGAGGGGAGGAAUCCAGGAGAACAUGAAGUUCAUGCUGCCUGCUGUGCCGUGAGUAAUAAAGUUUUCUCUGAUCCAGGAAUCUCAUGUCUUAUGUCAGGAUCUAUGAACCUGCAGCAGACUCACUUGUUAAGCAUUUAAACAGAGCGAAAUCCCAUACCUUUUUCAAGUUCCUGCUAAUGUGCAGUGUGUUUGUGUCUGUGUGUGUGUGUGUGUGUGUGUGUGUGUUUAACCUAUUCAGCUUCUUCUGACCGUGAACUCCUUAAGAGUAAGGAUUGUAUCUAAUCCAUCCAGGGAUCUCCAAGACUUAACCUAAUUAAAAUUAAAAUAGACAUUAGCCGAAUAAAAAUGUAAUGAGAACAUGGGUAGUCAAGAAGAGGAAAAGGGGUCAGGGAAAACCUACCACAUAAUGUACAGGUCUUUUCAUCAUUUAAAUUAAUGCUGCUUUUCAUUAAGUUGAAUUAACGCUAUUGUUCUGUUAGAAAAGAUAAAUAGACUGUUAUCCAUGUAUAUUCUUUACAUGACAAUUAUGACCUUAACCCAACUCUUGCAUUGUCAUUCUAUCCUCAUAUCAUAAGUCCCCACUCACCUACCCACCAUCAACCCUAAAGUUCAAAGUAUAAAAUCAUAUUUUGCAAUAAAAGACACUGAGGGAUUCUGACUGAAAACAUACCAUAAGGAAGUAGGGGUUUAGACCUGUGUUUCAGAUGGGAAUGUUGCUUCUGGACUCCAUUUUUGGUUAACGUUGGAACCCAUCCUUGUUAGUCACUCCUGCACUGUGGGUGGAUGUGUCUGGAGAAAUGACUCUAUGUAUGUGCAUUCAAAGAGUUAAAGCAUCAUAACUAAUAAAAAUUGGGUCCUGAGUAGUUUUGUUGUGAGUCUCUUUCUUCUGAGUGUGAAACUGAGGAAAGAAAUGUCCUCCUCAUUGAGAGGAAACCUCAUAGCUGGACAAAGCAUUCAGAGAAGUGGGAGGUUCACUGGUGAUAGCAAUGGGAUCAGGAGGUGAGGCAUAAGGACCAGGAGGAACAGAAAAUGUAACUGUGAGUCUCCCGAAGCCCUUGAGGCUGCUCUCAUUGGCUUAAGGAGAUGGGGCUCCAACGAACGUGGAGGCACCUGAUGGACUGGAUAUACCUGACAGAUAAAGUUAUCCGGGUGUCAGCCUCACUGGGGUCCAGCCAAAGGUCUGAAUUUCUAUUUCUUCUAAGAUAACUGAUUCAUG